GGGAAUCUACCUUUUGCUACGGAAUAGCUCCGGGAAACUGGAAUUAAUACCGUAUGUGCCCUUUGAUGGUGGACAUUGGAGGGGAAAGAUUUAUCGGCAAAGGAUGAGCCCGCGUUGGAUUAGCUAGUUGGUGGGGUAAAGGCCUACCAAGGCGACGAUCCAUAGCUGGUCUGAGAGGAUGAUCAGCCACAUUGGGACUGAGACACGGCCCAAACUCCUACGGGAGGCAGCAGUGGGGAAUAUUGGACAAUGGGCGCAAGCCUGAUCCAGCCAUGCCGCGUGUGUGAUGAAGGCCUUAGGGUUGUAAAGCACUUUCACCGGUGAAGAUAAUGACGGUAACCGGAGAAGAAGCCCCGGCUAACUUCGUGCCAGCAGCCGCGGUAAUACGAAGGGGGCUAGCGUUGUUCGGAAUUACUGGGCGUAAAGCGCACGUAGGCGGAUAUUUAAGUCAGGGGUGAAAUCCCAGAGCUCAACUCUGGAACUGCCUUUGAUACUGGGUAUCUUGAGUAUGGAAGAGGUGAGUGGAAUUCCGAGU
RNAcentral lists this ribosomal RNA (535 nucleotides) under uncultured bacterium. RNAcentral describes it as "bacterial SSU rRNA". It matches the Rfam family "Bacterial small subunit ribosomal RNA", at positions 120 to 674 of the family's 1533-position model. The record is from RNAcentral.